GAUGAACGCUGGCGGCGUGCCUCAAACAUGCAAGUCGAGCGGGGCUAUGUAAUAUCGCAAGGUAGAACAUAGCCUAGCGGCGAACGGGUGAGUAACACGUGGGUAACCUGCCUGGAAGACAGGGAUAACGAUUCGAAAGGGUCGCUAAUACCUGAUAAUAUCCUUUCAUCGCAUGGUGAUAGGAAGAAAGGGGAAACCCGCUUUCAGAUGGGCCCGCGUCCCAUCAGCUAGUUGGUAAGGUAAAGGCUUACCAAGGCGACGACGGGUAGCCGGUCUGAGAGGAUGUACGGCCACACUGGGACUGAGAUACGGCCCAGACUCCUACGGGAGGCAGCAGUUGGGAAUCUCAGGCAAUGGACGAAAGUCUGACCUAGCGACGCCGCGUGAGGGAAGAAGGCCUUGGGUGUAAACCUCUGUCAUGGGGAAGAAGUAAGUGACGGUACCCCAAGAGGAAGCCCUGCUAACUACGUGCCAGCCGCCGCGGUAAAACCCUGUACAGU
This 500-nucleotide ribosomal RNA is filed under the name uncultured bacterium. RNAcentral describes it as "bacterial SSU rRNA". It matches the Rfam family "Bacterial small subunit ribosomal RNA", at positions 28 to 533 of the family's 1533-position model. The record is from RNAcentral.